AUUUGGAUAGUUUAUUUAAAACGUUGAUUUGUGGAGUCAAAAAAAUAUUAUUAUUCUAAAUU
Molecule: transfer RNA, 62 nt
Filed under: Cucujoidea sp. 2 KM-2017
Lineage: Eukaryota; Metazoa; Arthropoda; Insecta; Coleoptera
Description: tRNA-His
Source: RNAcentral